GGGGGCAGGAGGUUCGACUCGAGCGAAGCGAGAGAACGUUGCGUCAGCAACGGCCCGCAGGGCGAGCCACGAAGUGGCGAGUCAUUCUCUAUCACCGACCA
This 101-nucleotide small RNA is filed under the name Klebsiella variicola. RNAcentral's name for it is "partial RtT sRNA". It matches the Rfam family "RtT RNA", at positions 31 to 130 of the family's 130-position model. From Rfam's summary of the family: This family represents a bacterial cis-regulatory element known as RtT RNA. The exact function of RtT is unknown although it is thought that it may be involved in changing the cellular response in relation to amino acid starvation. The record is from RNAcentral. Lineage: Bacteria; Pseudomonadati; Pseudomonadota; Gammaproteobacteria; Enterobacterales; Enterobacteriaceae.